UCAGUGAAAUGCACGCAUCAGUGGUGUUAAUAUCAACAUCAAUUUCCUUUGAUUGCAGAAAGUUGACCACUUGUUGCUCUGUUGAAACCGCAUCCAUGUCAUCUGGUUCUCCUCUGUUGUCAACUGCUCUUGCAUAGGAUGGAGGAUUGAUGCGUAGCCCUACAAUGAUGACGUCAUUCUGUCGUGUAAACGGAUCCAUUUCCUCUUUGAUGUUUUCCAAAACACUUGAUAUUCCCCAGAUUGGAGAUAUCGUCUUGUCUGGCAUUGAGCUGUUGGAGCAAAGAUGGCUCUGCCCUCCUCCACAGCAGACACAAUGGUGGAGAAGUUAUCAUCAGAAAGAACCAUCUCUGAUGCCGAUUUGGCCACUGCUGUGCCAGAGCCCAUGGCGAUGCCGAUUUCUGCUUUUUUCAGGGCGGGGGCGUCAUUCACACCAUCUCCAGUCUAGGAUGUGAAAAGGGAGCAGCCGAGAGGAUCGGCCAUGACAGCUUUUGAUAGCUGGGUCUUCGAUCGCAGCUUCAGAGGUGGAUUGAAACAUGUCACGCCUCACCGACCUCUUGUCAGCUCAUUCAUAAUUCAUAAUUCAUGAAUGGAGGAAAAAUAAAAAGCACUUCUCUACCUUGCAACAGUCAAGAAGUCUAUUGCUAAAUAAAAACAAAAAUGUAGCUUUUAAAACCUUCGACUUUGGCCAAAAUGAUGAACAUGUGCUUCUCAACUUUUGAAAACGUACACAACUGAACUAGACAAAAGUUCUUGAGGGAAAUUGUAUUGUAUUGUAUGUAAUGUAUAAUAUAAAUUGUGAUGCAUAUUAUAUGUGAUA
Nerophis lumbriciformis (worm pipefish) is the source of this 817-nucleotide long non-coding RNA. RefSeq lists it as uncharacterized. Lineage: Eukaryota; Metazoa; Chordata; Actinopteri; Syngnathiformes; Syngnathidae. The record is from RefSeq and is a predicted model, not a curated record.